Molecule: ribosomal RNA, 867 nt
Filed under: uncultured Acidobacteriota bacterium
Lineage: Bacteria; Pseudomonadati; Acidobacteriota
Description: bacterial SSU rRNA
Rfam family: Bacterial small subunit ribosomal RNA
Source: RNAcentral
CAAGUCGAACGCGAAAGUCCCGCAAGGGAUUAGUAGAGUGGCAAACGGGUGAGUAACGCGUGGGUGACCUGCCUUCGAGCGGGGGAUAACGUUCCGAAAGGGACGCUAAUACCGCAUAACAUCCUGCUUUUUAACAAGUGGAGAUCAAAGCUGGGGCUCGCAAGACCUAGCACUCGAAGAGGGGCCCGCGUCUGAUUAGCUAGUUGGUGAGGUAACGGCUCACCAAGGCGACGAUCAGUAUCCGGCCUGAGAGGGCGGACGGACACACUGGGACUGAGACACGGCCCAGACUCCUACGGGAGGCAGCAGUGGGGAAUUGUUCGCAAUGGGCGCAAGCCUGACGACGCAACGCCGCGUGGAGGAUGAAGAUCUUCGGGUCGUAAACUCCUUUCGAUCGAGACGAACGGCCUCCGGGUGAACAAUCCGGAGGAGUGACGGUACCGAGAGAAGAAGCCCCGGCUAACUCCGUGCCAGCAGCCGCGGUAAUACGGGGGGGGCAAGCGUUGUUCGGAAUUACUGGGCGUAAAGGGCUCGUAGGCGGCCAACUAAGUCAGACGUGAAAUCCCUCGGCUUAACCGGGGAACUGCGUCUGAUACUGGAUGGCUUGAGUGUAGGAGAGGGAUGCGGAAUUCCAGGUGUAGCGGUGAAAUGCGUAGAUAUCUGGAGGAACACCGGUGGCGAAGGCGGCAUCCUGGACUACUACUGACGCUGAGUGAGCGAAAGCCAGGGGAGCAAACGGGAUUAGAUACCCCGGUAGUCCUGGCCCUAAACGAUGAAUGCUUGGUGUGACGGGUAUCGAUCCCUGUCGUGCCGAAGCUAACGCAUUAAGCAUUCCGCCUGGGGAGUACGGUCGCAAGGCUGAAACUC